CCCCUCUCAGGGUCGCAUCUGGAGAGUUUCCAGUACUCUACCAGUCUCGACUAUGGAAGGGCGAGUCAAACGGAGGACUAUCCAUUCCAUUCCUAGCUUGGCCAGUAGCUAGCAAGUGGAAGGCAAUCUGCUACAAGU
This is a small nucleolar RNA of Tachyglossus aculeatus (Australian echidna), 138 nucleotides long. Lineage: Eukaryota; Metazoa; Chordata; Mammalia; Monotremata; Tachyglossidae. The record is from RefSeq and is a predicted model, not a curated record.